This 789-nucleotide ribosomal RNA is filed under the name uncultured bacterium. RNAcentral describes it as "bacterial SSU rRNA". It matches the Rfam family "Bacterial small subunit ribosomal RNA", at positions 8 to 796 of the family's 1533-position model. The record is from RNAcentral.
AGAGUUUGAUCAUGGCUCAGAUUGAACGCUGGCGGAUUUACACAUGCAAGUCGAACGGUAACGCGGGGCAACCCUGGCGACGAGUGGCGAACGGGUGAGUAAUACAUCGGAACAUGUCCUGGAGUGGGGGAUAGCUCGGCGAAAGCCGGAUUAAUACCGCAUACGCUCUGAGGAGGAAAGCGGGGGACUCGCAAGGCCUCGCGCUGCAGGAGUGGCCGAUGUCGGAUUAGCUAGUUGGUGAGGUAAAGGCUCACCAAGGCGACGAUCCGUAGCUGGUCUGAGAGGAUGAUCAGCCACACUGGGACUGAGACACGGCCCAGACUCCUACGGGAGGCAGCAGUGGGGAAUUUUGGACAAUGGGGGCAACCCUGAUCCAGCCAUGCCGCGUGAGUGAAGAAGGCCUUCGGGUUGUAAAGCUCUUUCGGACGGAACGAAAUGGUUACAGUGAAUAACUGUGAUUGAUGACGGUACCGUAAGAAGAAGCACCGGCUAACUACGUGCCAGCAGCCGCGGUAAUACGUAGGGUGCGAGCGUUAAUCGGAAUUACUGGGCGUAAAGCGUGCGCAGGCGGUUCGCCAAGUCAGGUGUGAAAUCCCCGGGCUUAACCUGGGAAUUGCGCUUGAAACUAGCGGGCUUGAGUGUGGCAGAGGGGGGUGGAAUUCCACGUGUAGCAGUGAAAUGCGUAGAGAUGUGGAGGAACACCGAUGGCGAAGGCAGCCCCCUGGNNNNNNACUGACGCUCAUGCACGAAAGCGUGGGGAGCAAACAGGAUUAGAUACCCUAGUAGUCC